This 3113-nucleotide ribosomal RNA is filed under the name Salmonella enterica subsp. enterica serovar 4,[5],12:i:- str. 08-1736. RNAcentral's name for it is "bacterial LSU rRNA". It matches the Rfam family "Bacterial large subunit ribosomal RNA". Lineage: Bacteria; Pseudomonadati; Pseudomonadota; Gammaproteobacteria; Enterobacterales; Enterobacteriaceae. The record is from RNAcentral.
GGGUUGUGAGGUUAAGCGACUAAGCGUACACGGUGGAUGCCCUGGCAGUCAGAGGCGAUGAAGGGCGUGCUAAUCUGCGAUAAGCGCCGGUAAGGUGAUAUGAACCGUUAUAACCGGCGAUACCCGAAUGGGGAAACCCAGUGUGACUCGUCACACUAUCAUUAACUGAAUCCAUAGGUUAAUGAGGCGAACCGGGGGAACUGAAACAUCUAAGUACCCCGAGGAAAAGAAAUCAACCGAGAUUCCCCCAGUAGCGGCGAGCGAACGGGGAGGAGCCCAGAGCCUGAAUCAGCAUGUGUGUUAGUGGAAGCGUCUGGAAAGGCGCGCGAUACAGGGUGACAGCCCCGUACACAAAAGCGCAUGUGCUGUGAGCUCGAUGAGUAGGGCGGGACACGUGGUAUCCUGUCUGAAUAUGGGGGGACCAUCCUCCAAGGCUAAAUACUCCUGACUGACCGAUAGUGAACCAGUACCGUGAGGGAAAGGCGAAAAGAACCCCGGCGAGGGGAGUGAAAAAGAACCUGAAACCGUGUACGUACAAGCAGUGGGAGCCCCACCACCAAAGCAUUCUCUGGUGUUGAAGGCCCUGCAAAGCAGCAUCGCGGUGGCGGAGCGUCGUUUGCGACGCCCAACACACAAAACAAGCGGUGAAUGCUUUGGGGUGGGGUGACUGCGUACCUUUUGUAUAAUGGGUCAGCGACUUAUAUUCUGUAGCAAGGUUAACCGAAUAGGGGAGCCGGAGGGAAACCGAGUCUUAAUUGGGCGUUAAGUUGCAGGGUAUAGACCCGAAACCCGGUGAUCUAGCCAUGGGCAGGUUGAAGGUUGGGUAACACUAACUGGAGGACCGAACCGACUAAUGUUGAAAAAUUAGCGGAUGACCUGUGGCUGGGGGUGAAAGGCCAAUCAAACCGGGAGAUAGCUGGUUCUCCCCGAAAGCUAUUUAGGUAGCGCCUCGUGAAUUCAUCUCCGGGGGUAGAGCACUGUUUCGGCUAGGGGGCCAUCCCGGCUUACCAACCCGAUGCAAACUGCGAAUACCGGAGAAUGUUAUCACGGGAGACACACGGCGGGUGCUAACGUCCGUCGUGAAGAGGGAAACAACCCAGACCGCCAGCUAAGGUCCCAAAGUCAUGGUUAAGUGGGAAACGAUGUGGGAAGGCCCAGACAGCCAGGAUGUUGGCUUAGAAGCAGCCAUCAUUUAAAGAAAGCGUAAUAGCUCACUGGUCGAGUCGGCCUGCGCGGAAGAUGUAACGGGGCUAAACCAUGCACCGAAGCUGCGGCAGCGAACGUAUCACCCAAGACAACUUUACGGAGUUGACGAUUGACGGAGCGAAGCGACGUCAAAGCGUUCAUUAAAGUCGAGUUGGCUUAGGGAUACGUUCGUUGGGUAGGGGAGCGUUCUGUAAGCCUGUGAAGGUGUGUCGUGAGGCAUGCUGGAGGUAUCAGAAGUGCGAAUGCUGACAUAAGUAACGAUAAAGCGGGUGAAAAGCCCGCUCGCCGGAAGACCAAGGGUUCCUGUCCAACGUUAAUCGGGGCAGGGUGAGUCGACCCCUAAGGCGAGGCCGAAAGGCGUAGUCGAUGGGAAACGGGUUAAUAUUCCCGUACUUGGUGUUACUGCGAAGGGGGGACGGAGAAGGCUAUGUUGGCCGGGCGACGGUUGUCCCGGUUUAAGCGUGUAGGUGUGUGUUCCAGGUAAAUCCGGUUCACUUUAACACUGAGGCGUGAUGACGAGGCACUACGGUGCUGAAGCAACAAAUGCCCUGCUUCCAGGAAAAGCCUCUAAGCAUCAGGUAACAUCAAAUCGUACCCCAAACCGACACAGGUGGUCAGGUAGAGAAUACCAAGGCGCUUGAGAGAACUCGGGUGAAGGAACUAGGCAAAAUGGUGCCGUAACUUCGGGAGAAGGCACGCUGACACGUAGGUGAAGUGAUUUACUCACGGAGCUGAAGUCAGUCGAAGAUACCAGCUGGCUGCAACUGUUUAUUAAAAACACAGCACUGUGCAAACACGAAAGUGGACGUAUACGGUGUGACGCCUGCCCGGUGCCGGAAGGUUAAUUGAUGGGGUCAGCGCAAGCGAAGCUCCUGAUCGAAGCCCCGGUAAACGGCGGCCGUAACUAUAACGGUCCUAAGGUAGCGAAAUUCCUUGUCGGGUAAGUUCCGACCUGCACGAAUGGCGUAAUGAUGGCCAGGCUGUCUCCACCCGAGACUCAGUGAAAUUGAACUCGCUGUGAAGAUGCAGUGUACCCGCGGCAAGACGGAAAGACCCCGUGAACCUUUACUAUAGCUUGACACUGAACAUUGAGCCUUGAUGUGUAGGAUAGGUGGGAGGCUUUGAAGUGUGGACGCCAGUCUGCAUGGAGCCGACCUUGAAAUACCACCCUUUAAUGUUUGAUGUUCUAACGUGGACCCGUAAUCCGGGUUGCGGACAGUGUCUGGUGGGUAGUUUGACUGGGGCGGUCUCCUCCUAAAGAGUAACGGAGGAGCACGAAGGUUGGCUAAUCCUGGUCGGACAUCAGGAGGUUAGUGCAAUGGCAUAAGCCAGCUUGACUGCGAGCGUGACGGCGCGAGCAGGUGCGAAAGCAGGUCAUAGUGAUCCGGUGGUUCUGAAUGGAAGGGCCAUCGCUCAACGGAUAAAAGGUACUCCGGGGAUAACAGGCUGAUACCGCCCAAGAGUUCAUAUCGACGGCGGUGUUUGGCACCUCGAUGUCGGCUCAUCACAUCCUGGGGCUGAAGUAGGUCCCAAGGGUAUGGCUGUUCGCCAUUUAAAGUGGUACGCGAGCUGGGUUUAGAACGUCGUGAGACAGUUCGGUCCCUAUCUGCCGUGGGCGCUGGAGAACUGAGGGGGGCUGCUCCUAGUACGAGAGGACCGGAGUGGACGCAUCACUGGUGUUCGGGUUGUCAUGCCAAUGGCACUGCCCGGUAGCUAAAUGCGGAAGAGAUAAGUGCUGAAAGCAUCUAAGCACGAAACUUGCCCCGAGAUGAGUUCUCCCUGAGACUUUAGGUCUCCUGAAGGAACGUUGAAGACGACGACGUUGAUAGGCCGGGUGUGUAAGCGCAGCGAUGCGUUGAGCUAACCGGUACUAAUGAACCGUGAGGCUUAACCUUACAACGCCGAAG